GACGAACGCUGGCGGCGUGCCUAAUACAUGCAAGUCGAACGAAGCUGUUUUAACUGGUGCUUGCACCGACUUAAACAACUGAGUGGCGAACGGGUGAGUAACACGUGGGUAACCUGCCCCAAAGCGGGGGAUAACAUUUGGAAACAGAUGCUAAUACCGCAUAACCACAGAAACCACAUGGUUUCUGUGUCAAAGAUGGUUUCGGCUAUCACUUUGGGAUGGACCCGCGGCGUAUUAGCUAGUUGGUAAGGUAAUGGCUUACCAAGGCAAUGAUACGUAGCCGAACUGAGAGGCUGAUCGGCCACAUUGGGACUGAGACACGGCCCAAACUCCUACGGGAGGCAGCAGUAGGGAAUCUUCCACAAUGGACGAAAGUCUGAUGGAGCAAUGCCGCGUGAGUGAAGAAGGUUUUCGGAUCGUAAAACUCUGUUGUCAGAGAAGAACGUGUGCGAGAGUAACUGCUCGUGCAGUGACGGUAUCUGGCCAGAAAGCCACGGCUAACUACGUGCCAGCCGCCGCAGUAA
This 524-nucleotide ribosomal RNA is filed under the name uncultured bacterium. Its description in RNAcentral is "partial 16S ribosomal RNA". It matches the Rfam family "Bacterial small subunit ribosomal RNA", at positions 28 to 523 of the family's 1533-position model. The record is from RNAcentral.